UUCAGAAUAGCUUAAAUAUAAAGCAUUGAUUUUGUAAUUCAAAGAUAAAUAUUUUUUCUGAAA
This 63-nucleotide transfer RNA is filed under the name Bulinus nasutus. RNAcentral's name for it is "tRNA-Thr". It matches the Rfam family "tRNA". From Rfam's summary of the family: Transfer RNA (tRNA) molecules are approximately 80 nucleotides in length. Their secondary structure includes four short double-helical elements and three loops (D, anti-codon, and T loops). Lineage: Eukaryota; Metazoa; Mollusca; Gastropoda; Planorbidae. The record is from RNAcentral.